GAAACCAUCUGCUGGUGGCAGAACACUGUGCAUCAAGACCUCAAGUUCAGAAGAACUCGGUCCGCUGCGGCUAGUCCUGCCUGUGGUAGUGCACCUUAGUGUCUCUGCUGCCCAAAGACAAAGAUAGUAGGGAAACCUGGUAAAACUGCCCUGGAGACCCAUCAGGAAUGAAGUCUCUUAUGCCGUUCCAGCCAUACUCAUUGAACUUCAAGGCAUCCAGCAAGGUCUUGAUGCUGUUGUAAUCCUCUUUCACUUGUUACCAUUACGGAGCAGCACAGCUUUGAGGCUGGUGGACCCCGGAAGGUGCUGAAGCCACCACUGCACAUCAAAAUAGGCCCUGAAACAAUUUGAUAGAGCUCUAGAUAAGGAGUUGGCAGCCUUCAAGUACCUUCAAGACUUCUUCCCCUAGCUGUCUGAGGCAAAGAUCAAAGCCAGUGUAUUAAUACAUCUUAACUAGGAUUCAUA
This is a long non-coding RNA of Micropterus dolomieu (smallmouth bass), 465 nucleotides long. RefSeq lists it as uncharacterized. The transcript has 2 exons. The record is from RefSeq and is a predicted model, not a curated record. Lineage: Eukaryota; Metazoa; Chordata; Actinopteri; Centrarchiformes; Centrarchidae.